CAUGACUCUGAUCUCCGUCCUCAUCUGGACUCUCCUCUGCUGCUGCUUCACAGAGUCCAGAGGUCAGGUCACAGUGACUCAGCCUGGAGCAGUGAGCUCUGCUCGGGGAGCCUCCGUCUCCAUCAGCUGUAAUGUUAAUCCUGCUGUGCAUUAUGAUGGUUCUGACUACAUAUUAGCCUGGUACCAACAGAAAGAAAGAGAAGCUCCAAAACUCCUCAUUUACUGGGUAAAUCGUAGAGAAUCAGGGAUUCCAGAUCGUUUUUCAGGCAGUGGAUCAAACUCUGACUUCACUCUGACCAUCAGUGGAGUUGAGGCUGAAGAUGCAGCAGUUUAUUACUGUCAGAGUUAUCAUGAAAUCAACAUUCAGAAUGUGUUCACACAGUGAAAAAGCGUCGUACAAAAACCUCCCUCAGUCAG
Non-coding RNA from Sander lucioperca (pikeperch), 417 nucleotides. Lineage: Eukaryota; Metazoa; Chordata; Actinopteri; Perciformes; Percidae. The record is from the annotation of a RefSeq genome assembly.